AGCGAACGUUAGCGGCAGGCCUAACACAUGCAAGUCGCACGAGAAUCCGGCUUCGGCCGGUAGUAAAGUGGCGGACGGGUGAGUAACACGUGGAUAAUCUGCCCUUCGGCGGGGGACGAACAGUCCGAAAGGACUGCUAAUACCGCAUACGUCGGCGAGGUCUUCGGAUCUUGCCGGGAAAGAUGGCCUCUUCAUGAAAGCUAUCACCGAAGGAUGAGUCCGCGUCCCAUCAGCUAGUUGGCGGGGUAAUGGCCCACCAAGGCUUAGACGGGUAGCUGGUCUGAGAGGAUGAUCAGCCACACUGGAACUGAGACACGGUCCAGACUCCUACGGGAGGCAGCAGUGGGGAAUAUUGGGCAAUGGGCGCAAGCCUGACCCAGCCAUGCCGCGUGAGUGAUGAAGGCCUUC
This 408-nucleotide ribosomal RNA is filed under the name uncultured bacterium. Its description in RNAcentral is "bacterial SSU rRNA". It matches the Rfam family "Bacterial small subunit ribosomal RNA", at positions 29 to 419 of the family's 1533-position model. The record is from RNAcentral.